CGUAGGGUGCGAGCGCUAAUCGGAAUUACUGGGCGUAAAGCGUGCGCAGGCGGUUUUGUAAGACAGAUGUGAAAUCCCCGGGCUCAACCUGGGACCUGCAUUUGUGACUGCAAGGCUAGAGUACGGUAGAGGGGGAUGGAAUUCCGCGUGUAGCAGUGAAAUGCGUAGAUAUGCGGAGGAACACCGAUGGCGAAGGCAAUCCCCUGGACCUGUACUGACGCUCAUGCACGAAAGCGUGGGGAGCAAACAGGAUUAGAUACCCUGGUAGUCCACGCCCUAAACGAUGUCAACUGGUUGUUGGGUCUUUACUGACUCAGUAACGAAGCUAACGCGUGAAGUUGACCGCCUGGGGAGUACGGCCGCAAGGUUG
This 370-nucleotide ribosomal RNA is filed under the name uncultured organism. RNAcentral's name for it is "bacterial SSU rRNA". It matches the Rfam family "Bacterial small subunit ribosomal RNA", at positions 526 to 896 of the family's 1533-position model. The record is from RNAcentral.